AAUGAAAUAAAUAUUACUUACAUAUAAAAACAUUAUUCAAAUUAAAUUUAUAGUGCGUAUUAAUUAUUUUAUAAUUUUUUUAAAAUUUUUGAGCCUUGCCUCGCUCAAUCGCGCGCCUUGAGUCUAGGCUCAAGGGACCUUGGCACCUUGGUGCGCCUUUAAUAACUAUGCUUCUAAGAGUCUCAGGUGUUUAUUUCUUAAGUUCAAACUAUGUUUGGAAUUUCCCUACCUACAAUCACAAAAAAUAUUGAGGGAAGGAAAAGUCUAGUGUAGCAAUAAAAACCAACGUAUUUUAAUUAUUUUCUUAGAGUUUGAAAAUGGAAUAUUGAGUAUUUAGCUUUGUUUUAAAGAUAUUCAUGCUCCUUGACUCUCUUUUUCUCCUUUAUGCAUAUAUACAUCUUAAUCUUUUUCCUCCUACAAAGAAAGCAUUUAUACUACCCCAGAUACCAUUGCAUAAAGCCCAGCUCAUCAUAGCAUCUUUGCAUACACUAUUAAGAGUUACAAUUCCUAGACUUAAAUGUGUGAAUUGUUUAGAGGAAAGCACAGAAGAUGUAAGUUUUGCAAUCAAUUAAUCUUUGGU
This 580-nucleotide unclassified non-coding RNA is filed under the name Hevea brasiliensis (rubber tree). Lineage: Eukaryota; Viridiplantae; Streptophyta; Magnoliopsida; Malpighiales; Euphorbiaceae. The record is from RNAcentral.